Molecule: non-coding RNA, 72 nt
Organism: Podarcis lilfordi (Lilford's wall lizard)
Lineage: Eukaryota; Metazoa; Chordata; Lepidosauria; Squamata; Lacertidae
Source: the annotation of a GenBank genome assembly
AUUUGAGUAGCUUAGCUGGUAGAGCACAAGAAUCUUAAUCUCAGGUUGUGGGUUUGAGGCUCGCGUUGGACA